GAUGAAGAACGUAGCGAAAUGCGAUAAGUAGUGUGAAUUGCAGAAUUCAGUGAAUCAUCGAAUCUUUGAACGCACAUUGCGCCCCCUGGUAUUCCGGGGGGCAUGCCUGUCCGAGCGUCAUUACAACACUCAAGCUCAGCUUGGUAUUGGGCCCCGCCGACCCGGCGGGCCCUAAAGUCAGUGGCGGUGCCGUCCGGCUCCGAGCGUAGUAAUUCUUCUCGCUCUGGAGGUCCGGUCGUGUGCUCGCCAGCAACCCCCAAUUUUUUUCAGGUUGACCUCGGAUCAGGUAGGGAUACCCGCUGAACUUAAGCAUAUCAAUAAGCGGAGGA
Molecule: unclassified non-coding RNA, 329 nt
Filed under: soil metagenome
Description: partial contains 5.8S ribosomal RNA, internal transcribed spacer 2, and large subunit ribosomal RNA
Rfam family: 5.8S ribosomal RNA (bases 1-120)
Source: RNAcentral